This 429-nucleotide ribosomal RNA is filed under the name Chloroflexota bacterium. Its description in RNAcentral is "Chloroflexi bacterium partial 16S ribosomal RNA". It matches the Rfam family "Bacterial small subunit ribosomal RNA", at positions 355 to 776 of the family's 1533-position model. Lineage: Bacteria; Bacillati; Chloroflexota. The record is from RNAcentral.
UGGGGAAUAUUGCACAAUGGGCGCAAGCCUGAUGCAGCCAUGCCGCGUGUAUGAAGAAGGCCUUCGGGUUGUAAAGUACUUUCAGCGGGGAGGAAGGGAGUAAAGUUAAUACCUUUGCUCAUUGACGUUACCCGCAGAAGAAGCACCGGCUAACUCCGUGCCAGCAGCCGCGGUAAUACGGAGGGUGCAAGCGUUAAUCGGAAUUACUGGGCGUAAAGCGCACGCAGGCGGUUUGUUAAGUCAGAUGUGAAAUCCCCGGGCUCAACCUGGGAACUGCAUCUGAUACUGGCAAGCUUGAGUCUCGUAGAGGGGGGUAGAAUGCCAGGUGUAGCGGUGAAAUGCGUAGAGAUCUGGAAGAAUACCGGUGGCGAAGGCGGCCCCCUGGACGAAGACUGACGCUCAGGUGCGAAAGCGUGGGGAGCAAACAGG